Molecule: unclassified non-coding RNA, 193 nt
Filed under: uncultured fungus
Lineage: Eukaryota; Fungi
Description: sequence contains ITS1
Source: RNAcentral
UUAACAAUUAUAUAAUUCUCAGACAACAAUAAAGUCAGAAUUUAGAAUUCUCUGGUAGAUACUCACUAGUAUACACUGGUUGUAUAGAAAUACGACCUACCAAAGCAACAAAGUAAUAUAUUCAAGGAUGAGAGAUCUCCCCAUAUGGGGCUUGAACUCUUUAAUGAUCCUUCCGCAGGUUCACCUACGGAGA